This 253-nucleotide ribosomal RNA is filed under the name uncultured bacterium. RNAcentral's name for it is "partial 16S ribosomal RNA". It matches the Rfam family "Bacterial small subunit ribosomal RNA", at positions 524 to 776 of the family's 1533-position model. The record is from RNAcentral.
UACGUAGGGUGCGAGCGUUGUCCGGAAUUACUGGGCGUAAAGAGCUCGUAGGUGGUUUGUCGCGUUGUCCGUGAAAACUCACAACUCAAUUGUGGGCGUGCGGGCGAUACGGGCAGACUGGAGUACUGCAGGGGAGACUGGAAUUCCUGGUGUAGCGGUGGAAUGCGUAGAUAUCAAGCGGAACACCGGUGGCGAAGGCGAGUCCCUGGACAACACCUGACACUGAGGCACGAAAGCUAGGGGAGCAAACAGG